UACGUAGGGUGCAAGCGUUUGUCCGGAAUUAUUGGGCGUAAAGAGCUCGUAGGCGGUCUGUCGCGUCGGGGAGUGAAAACUCAGGGCUUAACCCUGAGCCUGCUUCCGAUACGGGCAGACUAGAGGUAUGCAGGGGAGAACGGAAUUCCUGGUGUAGCGGUGAAAUGCGUAGAUAUCCGGAGGAACACCAAUGGCGAAGGCAGUGUCCUGGGAAGUACCUGACGCUCAGGUGCGAAAGCUAGGGGAGCGAACAGG
This 255-nucleotide ribosomal RNA is filed under the name uncultured bacterium. Its description in RNAcentral is "partial 16S ribosomal RNA". It matches the Rfam family "Bacterial small subunit ribosomal RNA", at positions 524 to 776 of the family's 1533-position model. The record is from RNAcentral.